UGCCAGCAGCAGCGGUAAUACAUAGGGAGCGAGCGUUGUCUGUAAUUAUUGGGCGUAA
This 58-nucleotide ribosomal RNA is filed under the name uncultured bacterium. Its description in RNAcentral is "partial 16S ribosomal RNA". The record is from RNAcentral.